CCUACGGGUGGCAGCAGUAGGGAAUAUUGCUCAAUGGGGGAAACCCUGAAGCAGCAACGCCGCGUGGAGGAUGAAGGUUUUCGGAUUGUAAACUCCUUUUGUUAGAGAAGAUAAUGACGGUAUCUAACGAAUAAGCACCGGCUACCUCCGUGCCAGCACCCGCGGUAAUACGGAGGUUGCAGGCGUGACUCGGAAUAACUGGGCGUAAAGGGCGCGUAGGGGGGUUAGCAAGUCAGAUGUGAAAUCCUAUGGCUGAACCAUAGAAAUGCCUUUGAAACUGGUAUUCUAGAGUAUGGGAGAGGUAGGUGGGAUUCGUGGUGGAGGGGUAAAAUCCGUAGAGAUCAAGAGGAAUACUGAGUGCGAAGGCGACCUGCUAGAACAUUACUGACGCUGAUGCGCGAAAGCGUGGGGAGCAAACAGGAUUAGAUACCCCUGUAGUC
Molecule: ribosomal RNA, 440 nt
Filed under: uncultured bacterium
Lineage: Bacteria
Description: partial 16S ribosomal RNA
Rfam family: Bacterial small subunit ribosomal RNA
Source: RNAcentral